This 465-nucleotide ribosomal RNA is filed under the name uncultured bacterium. Its description in RNAcentral is "partial 16S ribosomal RNA". It matches the Rfam family "Bacterial small subunit ribosomal RNA", at positions 28 to 507 of the family's 1533-position model. The record is from RNAcentral.
GAUGAACGCUGGCAGCGUGCUUAACACAUGCAAGUCGAACGGAAAGGCUCCUGCUUGCAGGGGUACUCGAGUGGCGAACGGGUGAGUAACACGUGGGUGAUCUGCCCUGCACUUCGGGAUAAGCCUGGGAAACUGGGUCUAAUACCGGAUAGGACGAUGGUUUGGAUGCCAUUGUGGAAAGUUUUUCGGUGUGGGAUGAGCUCGCGGCCUAUCAGCUUGUUGGUUGGGUAAUGGCCUACCAAGGCGUCGACGGGUAGCCGGCCUGAGAGGGUGUACGGCCACAUUGGGACUGAGAUACGGCCCAGACUCCUACGGGAGGCAGCAGUGGGGAAUAUUGCACAAUGGGCGCAAGCCUGAUGCAGCGACGCCGCGUGGGGGAUGACGGCCUUCGGGUUGUAAACUCCUUUCGCUAGGGACGAAGCGCAAGUGACGGUACCUGGAGAAGAAGCACCGGCUAACUACGUG